UACGUAGGGCGCGAGCGUUUGUCCGGAAUUAUUGGGCGUAAAGAGCUCGUAGGCGGCCUGUUGCGUCCGCUGUGAAAACUCGGGGCUUAACCCCGAGCCUGCAGUGGAUACGGGCAGACUAGAGGUAGGUAGGGGAGAAUGGAAUUCCCGGUGUAGGCGGUGAAAUGCGCAGAUAUCGGGAGGAACACCGGUGGCGAAGGCGGUUCUCUGGGCCUUACCUGACGCUGAGGAGCGAAAGCGUGGGGAGCGAACAGG
RNAcentral lists this ribosomal RNA (255 nucleotides) under uncultured bacterium. Its description in RNAcentral is "partial 16S ribosomal RNA". It matches the Rfam family "Bacterial small subunit ribosomal RNA", at positions 524 to 776 of the family's 1533-position model. The record is from RNAcentral.